UUUAAAGUGUUAAAAUGGAAGGAAUCUCUUUUCAAAAUUGUCUGAACUAAUUUAAGUAUGAUUAGUUGUCUUUUCAAGUCUGAAAUACUUCAAUAUAAAUGAAAAGUCUUGAGGACAAACAUUGUGAGUGACAGCUAUUAUUAGAUAUUAUUAUUUUUAAGAAAAUUAAACUUGUCUGCAACUUAAGUUCCCCUGCCUGACACCCAGUACAAGAAUUAAAGCAUCACCUAAUACAUUUGUAAACAGUGUAGGGAACAAUUUGGAUUCUGUUAGUGUCCCUUUUUACUAAGGGCUAAUAGUCUGUCUGUAAGCAGUGAGUCAGCACACCUUGCUGUGAAUGGACCUGAAGUAACCUGGUGCUUCAGUAGACAAUUGUGGCAGCCAUGGCUGCAGGGCUGGUGAAUUCAUCCAGCAUGGAAGACCUCUGAGACCUGGCUCUCUCCUUGCCCACAUCCUUUGUGGUUUUUCCUGCGGAAAAUAAAAGAAGAGGAGAUAGCAGAUAGUGUACAUCAGAGGUUCAAAGAAAUGGCCAACCAUGCUCACACAUAUAGUGUAAGGCUUCAUUUUCCUUGUAUUGGAGUCUUCAUGAUGGGACGCAGGUAG
Molecule: long non-coding RNA, 603 nt
Filed under: Anas platyrhynchos platyrhynchos (common mallard)
Lineage: Eukaryota; Metazoa; Chordata; Aves; Anseriformes; Anatidae
Description: lncRNA (ENSAPLG00000019426.1)
Source: RNAcentral